Molecule: ribosomal RNA, 437 nt
Filed under: Wolbachia endosymbiont of Grapholitha molesta
Lineage: Bacteria; Pseudomonadati; Pseudomonadota; Alphaproteobacteria; Rickettsiales; Anaplasmataceae
Also listed under: 2 other names
Description: bacterial SSU rRNA
Rfam family: Bacterial small subunit ribosomal RNA
Source: RNAcentral
CAUACCUAUUCGAAGGGAUAGGGUCGGUUCGGCCGGAUUUUACACAAGUGUUGCAUGGCUGUCGUCAGCUCGUGUCGUGAGAUGUUGGGUUAAGUCCCGCAACGAGCGCAACCCUCAUCCUUAGUUGCUAUCAGGUAAUGCUGAGUACUUUAAGGAAACUGCCAGUGAUAAGCUGGAGGAAGGUGGGGAUGAUGUCAAGUCAUCAUGGCCUUUAUGGAGUGGGCUACACACGUGCUACAAUGGUGUCUACAAUGGGCUGCAAGGUGCGCAACCUAAGCUAAUCCCUAAAAGACAUCUCAGUUCGGAUUGUACUCUGCAACUCGAGUACAUGAAGUUGGAAUCGCUAGUAAUCGUGGAUCAGCAUGCCACGGUGAAUACGUUCUCGGGUCUUGUACACACUGCCCGUCACGCCAUGGGAAUUGGUUUCACUCGAAGCU